Pelobates cultripes (western spadefoot toad) is the source of this 119-nucleotide non-coding RNA. The record is from the annotation of a GenBank genome assembly. Lineage: Eukaryota; Metazoa; Chordata; Amphibia; Anura; Pelobatidae.
AUAACAAUACAGGACACUUUCCAGGCCCUGUAAUUGGAAUGUGUCCAGUUUAAAUCCUUUAACGAGGAUCUAUUGGAGGGCAAGUCUGGUGCAAAGCGACUGAUCUGUGCUUGCUGCAU